GCCAGUGUGGCGUAGUGGUUAGCGCAUCUGCCUAGUGAGCAAGAGACCAGGGUUCGAAUCCCGGCCUUGGUA
RNAcentral lists this transfer RNA (72 nucleotides) under Schistocerca americana (American grasshopper). RNAcentral describes it as "tRNA-Thr". It matches the Rfam family "tRNA". From Rfam's summary of the family: Transfer RNA (tRNA) molecules are approximately 80 nucleotides in length. The record is from RNAcentral. RNAcentral also lists the same sequence under 2 other names. Lineage: Eukaryota; Metazoa; Arthropoda; Insecta; Orthoptera; Acrididae.